GCAGAAGCAUUGAAGUGAGUGUGCCUUUGUUCCUAUUUUUGUGUGUAACUUACUGCUACUUACUGCAACUUACUGAUACUUAUUGCAAUUUACUGCAACUUCCUGCAACUUCCUGCAGCAUCUAGCAGAUCCAGAUUCAGAAUGCGGAAGAAGUGAUUUCUGAUACUACAACACCAAUUGGAUCAGCAGUGAAUCCAAGAAAACUUGCUAAAUAAAAGCAUCCGGCCCUUCCUUGAAGCUAUCUAAUAUAUCUGCCAGUACAGCUGCUUCAGGAAGAAUCCCACAACUUCUCAUCUCUUGCUAUAACCCUUUUUACUCCAGAACAAAGAAUCAAACACAAUUCAUUUCUUAUCUAUUGGGAUGCUUUGAGUUUUCUUUAAAGUCCGACAGGUGAAUGAGGCGAGAGAGUUUAUUAUAUAUUUGUAUAAAGUAUAAAGGGCAGCCUUUCAUUCCCCUUAUUACCUUUAUUGCUGUUCUCUGUACAUUUUCUAUUUCAUUAAUAUCCCAUUGAGAACUGGAGACCAAAACGGUACUGCGUCUGGUGGAGCAGCUUUUACUCUGGGGAAUCUUCAGCUCCAGUGUUAGUAAAUGCCCUGUAUCCCCUGCACCCCUUAACCAGCUGCCAUUCUGCUCCACUUUACACUCACCUGUACUUACCCUUUAUUUUAGUGCUUUUUUUCUAUUCAUAAAACUGUUUGCGACUAAUUACCAGCAGCUUAUUACGGGAAAAUAAAUAGUGAUAAGAAAGCAAUUAGUAUAAUGACAGUAAAUGACAGAAGUGAAUACACUGCGGCGCCGCACUCCAUUCCGUUCCUGUUAAUUACCGUUAAUAAUGGGGUUGCCAGAAGCCCCCGACACUGGAUCAUGGCAAACGUGGGGUUCAUUGUCCAUUGAAACUGUUAUAUUUAGAUAGAACCCUUUAUUCAUUAAAGAUAUAGUUACCCAUUAUCUGUUGCUAGGGACAGUCAUUCAAUCUACUGCUUGGUUUCUAAGGGAGGCGACCCUGGCAACAAGAUACCAGUUUAUAUUGUGAACUGAAGAGUUGGACAAGACGAGACCUGAACCCAGUGACGCAGUGCAACCUAGAAUACCCCCAUCCUACUGAACCCCAAAAUCUCACUCCCCUCUGUGAAUUUUGCAGACUGGGACUGUAAUUAUACAUGGACCUACACCCCACCCAACUCCUCCUGCAAGAUAUAUAUAUAUAUAUAUAUUCCACAGGUACCCGUAACCCGGCCCUUUAAAGGAAACCCCUGCUUUUCUCCACAAUUCAGCAAUGCCUUCAAAGGAGAAUCAAGUCAAGGGAUUUGCACCAGUGCAGCACAGAUCCCGAAGACAUUUUACUGUUUCCUUUAUCCAAUACGAAGUAUCCCGACCCCUUGCUGUGUCUAUAAAAACACAAUGAAGGACAAACAAAUAAGAUUUCCUUCCUGAAGAAAAAAGAGACGACUAACACUGACAAUGAGAAUAAUAAUAACCCACAUUCCUCUUCUAUCGGGAUCAGAGCCAGUGAUGUUCCUGACAAGUCCAAUAUCCAGGGAAUAGGAUGAUGGGAAGGAUUUAUCCCAAUCCAUUAAAAGCCCAAGAGAAAUAGAGUUUGACAAUUACAAUUUAUUCCUCUCGACAUUGGGUCAGACUGGACCAAAUAAGCCGAGAGAGCAGCACCAGAACCUUCCCUUCCAACUGAGGGGCCACAGUGCCAGAAUCAAUAUCUCUUUCUGUAUAGGAACCGGGGUGCUUGCAAUCUAAAUUCAUUAACACACAAAUAUCAUUAUCUCAGUAAUUACUUUGAUUUAUGGGCAAAUGUGGGAUUUAUGGACCGGGGGAGUUUUCAGCACCAGGACACGGAGUACAAGACCUCCAUAUACAAAAUAUUAUAUUUAUUCACAGACAAAUAAAUCUCUCCUUCUUAUCAGGGUUUGUCAGCAGCUUUUAAAUGUUCCCUGGGAAAUAAAGUGGUUUAUAAUGGGGGCUUUUCAUUUGGGUUCUGAUCAGCUAUUAAUCACCAUUUGGCUCUAAUUAGGGAAAGUGCUCAGGUAUAAAAGCUUUUAUUUGCUUCACUAUGAAGAAUAAAUCCAUAAACAUCA
Molecule: long non-coding RNA, 2087 nt
Organism: Xenopus laevis (African clawed frog)
Lineage: Eukaryota; Metazoa; Chordata; Amphibia; Anura; Pipidae
Exons: 2
Source: RefSeq, a predicted model, not a curated record